This is a long non-coding RNA of Oncorhynchus tshawytscha (Chinook salmon), 463 nucleotides long. Lineage: Eukaryota; Metazoa; Chordata; Actinopteri; Salmoniformes; Salmonidae. The record is from Ensembl.
UCCUACACCUCUCACCGAGACGCACCUUAUCACAGAGCUACUACGAAAUCAGACAGAGAAAACAUUGUCCUUGACGGACAGCCUAAUGAAGCAAGCAAUGGAAUCCAUCAGGUUGUGUGAGUCCGACAGCCAGCCAGCAUCCUACACAGACCAACAUCAGAGACAGCACUGCCUUAUCCUCAUUUCAAGACCUCAGACUGAGAGGCAGAAGGCCAAUUCAUGGCCACAUGUUUUAGAUUUUGGAGCUGAAUGACUCACCUGGUUGUUGGCGACAACGCAGUAUGGCAUCUCAUCUGCAGCAAUCGUUAAACAGCAACCGAGCGGUGAAACACGUCCUAUUGCUUCGUGAAACACCCAAGUGUCCAACAGUACCUCUGGCCCUGGGGAUCCAACUGGUAGCGGAGCAGCAUUGGAACUAAGCCACAUGUUCUUGAAAGUAUUUUUAUUGAUGUGUUUCAAUGUG